UUAACCCCGGCGGGGAAACUAGCAUAUCAAUAAGCGGAGGAAAAGAAACCAACAGGGAUUGCCCCAGUAACGGCGAGUGAAGCGGCAACAGCUCAAAUUUGAAAUCUGGCGCAAGCCCGAGUUGUAAUUUGUAGAGGAUGCUUCUGGCCAGCGGCCGUUCUAAGUUCCUUGGAACAGGACGUCAUAGAGGGUGAGAAUCCCGUAUGUGACCGGCGCGCAGCCUUUACGUAGCUCCUUCGACGAGUCGAGUUGUUUGGGAAUGCAGCUCUAAAUGGGAGGUAAAUUUCUUCUAAAGCUAAAUACCGGCCAGAGACCGAUAGCGCACAAGUAGAGUGAUCGAAAGAUGAAAAGUACUUUGGAAAGAGAGUUAAAAAGCACGUGAAAUUGUUGAAAGGGAAGCGCUUGCAACCAGACUUUGCGGCGGUGUUCCGCCGGCCUUCUGACCGGUCUACUCACCGCCGCGAGGCCAACAUCGUCUGGGCCCGCUGGAUAAGACCGGAGGAAUGUAGCUUCCCUCGGGAAGUGUUAUAGCCUCCGGUGAUGCGGCGCGGCUCGGGCGAGGUCCGCGCUUCGGCAAGGAUGUUGGCGUAAUGGUUGUCAGCGGCCCGUCUUGAAACACGGACCAAGGAGUCUAACAUCUAUGCGAGUGUUCGGGUGUCAAACCCCUACGCGUAAUGAAAGUGAACGGAGGUGGGACGCGCAAGCUGCACCAUCGACCGAUCCUGAUGUCCUCGGAUGGAUUUGAGUAAGAGCAUAGCUGUUGGGACCCGAAAGAUGGUGAACUAUGCCUGAAUAGGGUGAAGCCAGAGGAAACUCUGGUGGAGGCUCGCAGCGGUUCUGACGUGCAAAUCGAUCGUCAAAUUUGGGUAUAGGGGCGAAAGACUAAUCGAACCAUCUAGUAGCUGGUUCCUGCCGAAUUUCCCC
This 924-nucleotide ribosomal RNA is filed under the name Pluripassalora sp. NT-2022a. RNAcentral's name for it is "partial large subunit ribosomal RNA". It matches the Rfam family "Eukaryotic large subunit ribosomal RNA", at positions 24 to 972 of the family's 3401-position model. The record is from RNAcentral. Lineage: Eukaryota; Fungi; Ascomycota.